CCUACGGGUGGCUGCAGUAAGGAAUAUUGGUCAAUGGACGAAAGUCUGAACCAGCCAUCCCGCGUGCAGGAUGAAAGCCCUAUGGGUUGUAAACUGCUUUUAGCAGAGAAGAAAAGCUUUCAUUAAUGAGAGUCUGACGGUAUCUGCAGAAUAAGCACCGGCUAACUCCGUGCCAGCAGCCGCGGUAAUACGGAGGGUGCGGGAGUUACCCGGAUUUACGGGUGCGUAGGCGUGCGAUUACGGAGGAUUAGAAAUCUUGUCGCUUAACGAUAGAAUUGCCAAUGAUACUGGUACUCUUGAAUUGGGUUGAGGUUAGCGGAAUGUGACAUGUAGCGGUGAAAUGCGUAGAUAUGUCAUGGAACACCAAUUGCGAAGGCAGCUAACUGGGCCUUGAUUGACGCUGAGGCACGAAAGCGUGGGUAGCGAACAGGAUUAGAUACCCGGGUAGUC
This 450-nucleotide ribosomal RNA is filed under the name uncultured bacterium. RNAcentral describes it as "partial 16S ribosomal RNA". It matches the Rfam family "Bacterial small subunit ribosomal RNA", at positions 338 to 795 of the family's 1533-position model. The record is from RNAcentral.